AUUGAACGCUGGCGGCAGGCCUAACACAUGCAAGUCGAGCGGAUGAAGGGAGCUUGCUCCUGGAUUCAGCGGCGGACGGGUGAGUAAUGCCUAGGAAUCUGCCUGGUAGUGGGGGAUAACGUCCGGAAACGGGCGCUAAUACCGCAUACGUCCUGAGGGAGAAAGUGGGGGAUCUUCGGACCUCACGCUAUCAGAUGAGCCUAGGUCGGAUUAGCUGGUUGGUGGGGUAAAGGCCUACCAAGGCGACGAUCCGUAACUGGUCUGAGAGGAUGAUCAGUCACACUGGAACUGAGACACGGUCCAGACUCCUACGGGAGGCAGCAGUGGGGAAUAUUGGACAAUGGGCGAAAGCCUGAUCCAGCCAUGCCGCGUGUGUGAAGAAGGUCUUCGGAUUGUAAAGCACUUUAAGUUGGGAGGAAGGGCAGUAAGUUAAUACCCUGCUGUUUUGACGUUACCAACAGAAUAAGCACCGGCUAACUUCGUG
This 484-nucleotide ribosomal RNA is filed under the name uncultured bacterium. Its description in RNAcentral is "partial 16S ribosomal RNA". It matches the Rfam family "Bacterial small subunit ribosomal RNA", at positions 30 to 507 of the family's 1533-position model. The record is from RNAcentral.